AUUGGGAGCUUGCUCCCAUGAGAGUGGCGCACGGGUGAGUAACGCGUAUGCAACCUACCUUUAACUGAGGGAUAGCCCAUAGAAAUGUGGAUUAAUACCUCAUAGUUCUUUUGUUCCGCAUGGAAUGAAAGAUAAAGCUCCGGCGGUUAAAGAUGGGCAUGCGUGACAUUAGUUUGUUGGUGAGGUAACGGCUCACCAAGACUACGAUGUCUAGGGGUUCUGAGAGGAUGAUCCCCCACACUGGUACUGAGACACGGACCAGACUCCUACGGGAGGCAGCAGUGAGGAAUAUUGGUCAAUGGGCGCAAGCCUGAACCAGCCAUCCCGCGUGAAGGAUGAAGGCCCUAUGGGUCGUAAACUUCUUUUAUACACCAAGAAAAAGCAGGACGUGUCCUGCCCCGACGGUAGUGUAUGAAUAAGCAUCGGCUAACUCCGUGCCAGCAGCCGCGGUAAUACGGAGGAUGCAAGCGUUAUCCGGAUUUAUUGGGUUUAAAGGGUGCGUAGGCGGCUUUUUAAGUCAGUGGUGAAAUCCUGUCGCUUAACGAUAGAAUUGCCAUUGAUACUGAAAAGCUUGAGUACAAUUGAGGUAAGCGGAAUGUGUAGUGUAGCGGUGAAAUGCUUAGAUAUUACACAGAACACCGAUUGCGAAGGCAGCUUACUAAACUGUCACUGACGCUGAUGCACGAAAGCGUGGGGAGCGAACAGGAUUAGAUACCCUGGUAGUCCACGCCGUANACGAUGAUCACUCGCUGUAUGCGAUACACANUAUGCGGCCAAGCGAAAGCAUUAAGUGAUCCACCUGGGGAGU
This 808-nucleotide ribosomal RNA is filed under the name uncultured bacterium. RNAcentral's name for it is "bacterial SSU rRNA". It matches the Rfam family "Bacterial small subunit ribosomal RNA", at positions 71 to 881 of the family's 1533-position model. The record is from RNAcentral.